CUGCCUUAGGGGAUCAGCCUAUAGUGCACGUCGUACGCACGAAAGUUUAUUCGGGUGCGCCGGACAUGUUACUGCGUGAGAUUUUAACACGUUUUGAGUGGCGAACGGGUGAGUAACACGUGGGUAACCUGCCCAGAAGUAGGGGAUAACACCUGGAAACAGAUGCUAAUACCGUAUAACAGAGAAAACCGCAGGUUUUCUUUUAAAAGAUGGCUCUGCUAUCACUUCUGGAUGGACCCGCGGCGUAUUAGCUAGUUGGUGAGGUAAAGGCUCACCAAGGCAGUGAUACGUAGCCGACCUGAGAGGGUAAUCGGCCACAUUGGGACUGAGACACGGCCCAGACUCCUACGGGAGGCAGCAGUAGGGAAUCUUCCACAAUGGACGCAAGUCUGAUGGAGCAACGCCGCGUGAGUGAAGAAGGGUUUCGGCUCGUAAAGCUCUGUUGUUAAAGAAGAACGUGGGUAAGAGUAACUGUUUACCCAGUGACGGUAUUUAACCAGAAAGCCACGGCUAACUACGUGCCAGCAGCCGCGGUAAUACGUAGGUGGCAAGCGUUAUCCGGAUUUAUUGGGCGUAAAGCGAGCGCAGGCGGUCUUUUAAGUCUAAUGUGAAAGCCUUCGGCUCAACCGAAGAAGUGCAUUGGAAACUGGGAGACUUGAGUGCAGAAGAGGACAGUGGAACUCCAUGUGUAGCGGUGAAAUGCGUAGAUAUAUGGAAGAACACCAGUGGCGAAGGCGGCUGUCUGGGUCUGCAACUGACGCUGAGGCUCGAAAGCAUGGGGUAGCGAACAGGAUUAGAUACCCUGGUAGUCCAUGCCGUAAACAGAUGAUACCCAAUGUUUGAGGGUGUUCCCCCCUUAAUGCGCCACAUAACGCAUUAAAUAAUCCGCCUGGGGAGUACGACCGCAGGUUGAAACUCAAAGAAUUGACCGGGCCCCGCACCAGCCGGUGGAGCAUGUGGUUUAAUUCGAAGCGUACGCGGAAGAACCUUACCAGGUGCUUGACAUCUGUCUGACAGUCUAAAGAAGAUUAAAGGUUCCUUUCGGGACAGAAUGGACGAGUAGGUGCAUGGGUUGUCGUUCAGCUCAUGUUCCUGAGAAUGUGAGGUGAGUACUCGCAACGAACCCAAACCUUUAUUACUUAGUUUACAACAUCUAAGUUGGGGCACUCUAAGUAGAGCGUGCGUGACAAACGCAGGAAG
RNAcentral lists this ribosomal RNA (1200 nucleotides) under Pediococcus pentosaceus. RNAcentral describes it as "bacterial SSU rRNA". It matches the Rfam family "Bacterial small subunit ribosomal RNA", at positions 1 to 1172 of the family's 1533-position model. Lineage: Bacteria; Bacillati; Bacillota; Bacilli; Lactobacillales; Lactobacillaceae. The record is from RNAcentral.